Molecule: ribosomal RNA, 503 nt
Filed under: uncultured bacterium
Lineage: Bacteria
Description: partial 16S ribosomal RNA
Rfam family: Bacterial small subunit ribosomal RNA
Source: RNAcentral
AUUGAACGCUGGCGGCAGGCUUAACACAUGCAAGUCGAGCGGGGUGAUGGUGCUUGCACUAUCACUUAGCGGCGGACGGGUGAGUAAUGCUUAGGAAUCUGCCUAUUAGUGGGGGACAACAUCUCGAAAGGGAUGCUAAUACCGCAUACGUCCUACGGGAGAAAGCAGGGGAUCACUUGUGACCUUGCGCUAAUAGAUGAGCCUAAGUCGGAUUAGCUAGUUGGUGGGGUAAAGGCCUACCAAGGCGACGAUCUGUAGCGGGUCUGAGAGGAUGAUCCGCCAAACUGGGACUGGGACCCGGCCCAGACUCCUACGGGAGGUAGCAGUGGGGAAUAUUGGACAAUGGGGGGAACCCUGAUCCAGCCAUGCCGCGUGUGUGAAGAAGGCCUUAUGGUUGUAAAGCACUUUAAGCGAGGAGGAGGCUCUUUUGGUUAAUACCCAAGAUGAGUGGACGUUACUCGCAGAAUAAGCACCGGCUAACUCUGUGCCAGCCGCCGCGGUAA